AAACUAACAAGGAUUCCCCUAGUAACGGCGAGUGAAGCGGGAAGAGCUCAAAUUUGAAAUCUGGUAGCCUUCGGUUGCCCGAGUUGUAAUCUAGAGAAGUGUUUUCCGCGUUGGCCCAUGUACAAGUCCCUUGGAACAGGGCGUCAUAGAGGGUGAGAAUCCCGUCCUUGACAUGGACCCCCAAUGCUUUGUGAUACACUUUCAACGAGUCGAGUUGUUUGGGAAUGCAGCUCAAAAUGGGUGGUGAAUUCCAUCUAAAGCUAAAUAUUGGCGAGAGACCGAUAGCGAACAAGUACCGUGAGGGAAAGAUGAAAAGCACUUUGGAAAGAGAGUUAAACAGUACGUGAAAUUGUUGAAAGGGAAACGAUUGAAGUCAGUCAUGCUCUUUGGAUUAAGCCGUUCUGCGGUGUAUUUCAUUGAGCGGGGUCAACAUCAGUUUUGAUCGCUGGAAAAGGGCAGGAGGAAGGUAGCACUCUCGGGGUGAACUUAUAGCCUCUUGUCGUAUACAGUGAUUGGGACUGAGGAACGCAGCAUGCCUUUUGGCCGGGAUUCGUCCACGUACAUGCUUAGGAUGUUGACAUAAUGGCUUUAAACGACCCGUCUUGAAACACG
RNAcentral lists this ribosomal RNA (612 nucleotides) under Naganishia globosa. Its description in RNAcentral is "eukaryotic LSU rRNA". It matches the Rfam family "Eukaryotic large subunit ribosomal RNA", at positions 62 to 663 of the family's 3401-position model. Lineage: Eukaryota; Fungi; Basidiomycota; Tremellomycetes; Filobasidiales; Filobasidiaceae. The record is from RNAcentral.